UCCUACGGGAGGCAGCAGUGGGGAAUUUUCCGCAAUGGGCGAAAGCCUGACGGAGCAAUACCGCGUGAGGGAAGACUGCCUAUGGGUUGUAAACCUCUUUUUUCAGGGAGGAAUCAAUGACGUGUACCUGAAGAAUAAGCAUCGGCUAACUCCGUGCCAGCAGCCGCGGUAAGACGGAGGAUGCAAGUGUUAUCCGGAAUCACUGGGCGUAAAGCGUCUGUAGGUGGUUUAAUAAGUCAACUGUUAAAUCUUGAGGCUCAACUUCAAAAUCGCAGUCGAAACUAUUAGACUAGAGUAUAGUAGAGGUAAAGGGAAUUUCCAGUGGAGCGGUGAAAUGCGUAGAUAUUGGAAAGAACACCGAUGGCGAAAGCACUUUACUGGGCUAUUACUAACACUCAGAGACGAAAGCUAGGGUAGCAAAUGGGAUUAGAUACCCCAGUAGUCCUAGCCGUAAACAAUGGAUACUAGAUGUUGAACAGAUCGACCUGUGCAGUAUCAAAGCUAACGCGUUAAGUAUCCCGCCUGGGAAGUAUGCUCGCAAGAGUGAAACUCAAAGGAAUUGACGGA
This 567-nucleotide ribosomal RNA is filed under the name uncultured bacterium. RNAcentral's name for it is "bacterial SSU rRNA". It matches the Rfam family "Bacterial small subunit ribosomal RNA", at positions 337 to 917 of the family's 1533-position model. The record is from RNAcentral.